This 422-nucleotide ribosomal RNA is filed under the name uncultured freshwater bacterium. Its description in RNAcentral is "bacterial SSU rRNA". It matches the Rfam family "Bacterial small subunit ribosomal RNA", at positions 958 to 1380 of the family's 1533-position model. The record is from RNAcentral.
AACGCGAAGAACCUUACCUAGGCUAGAAUGCGCGUGACCGCGCCAGAGAUGGCGCUUUCCUUCGGGACACAAAGCAAGGUGCUGCAUGGCCGUCGUCAGCUCGUGCCGUGAGGUGUUGGGUUAAGUCCCGCAACGAGCGCAACCCCUAUGUUUAGUUGCCAGCAUGUAAUGAUGGGGACUCUAGACAGACUGCCUGCGCAAGCAGUGAGGAAGGCGGGGACGACGUCAGGUCAUCAUGGCCCUUACGCCUAGGGCUACACACGUGCUACAAUGGACGGUACAGCGGGUUGCCAACCAGCGAUGGUGCGCCAAUCCCGAAGAGCCGUUCUCAGUUCGGAUCGGAGUCUGCAACUCGACUCCGUGAAGCUGGAAUCACUAGUAAUCGCGUAUCAGCAAUGACGCGGUGAAUACGUUCCCGGGUC